Non-coding RNA from Podarcis muralis (Common wall lizard), 507 nucleotides. NCBI's taxonomy places the organism in Eukaryota, Metazoa, Chordata, Lepidosauria, Squamata, Lacertidae. The record is from RefSeq and is a predicted model, not a curated record.
CCAGGCGGUUACAGGGUUGUGUUUCCAUUGGGAAUUCAGGCAUGUCAGAGAGUGUAGCGCUUUAAAAUACAUGGUUUAUUUUACACCUAGAUACUGCACACCUGGGUGGAGGAAGAUAGUUCACAGCAUUACAUCUCAAGAGGGGCUUCUUCCCCACAGCAGUGCAGCUUUGCAGUCCAAGGCAUCCUGCACACCAUUCUCGUUCUUCUGUCCCAGCCUGCCAAGAUGGUUCUGGUAAACAGACCACCUGGUCCAUCCUAUGCAGUGGAGGCUGCCCGACCAGCACCAAUCUAUCACUAGGGAUGGAGGAGAAACAUGAUUCAGUUUGCACUUGAAGACAAUUUCUUCCUGCCACCAAUAUAUUCUCACAGAAUCAGAGAGCUAGGUCAUCUGUUCUGUUGCUGCCACCACUCCACUUGAUGCAGGAAACCCAGAGCUACAGCAUUUCCAAUAAAUGGCUGCCCAGCCUCUGCUUGAAGACCUCCAGUGAGGGAGAGCCCAUCACCC